AACGGUCUAUACCUGCGGUACCUGCGGAGGGAUCAUUAUCGAGUGUUACCCCUCCCUAAAAAAGAGGGGAUACCUCCCGUCCUUUGCUAAGGCCCCCUCUAAUUUUUAGGGGGGCUUUUCAAACCUUUCUGCUUCGGCAGGGUUACCCUGCCGGAACACCCUCAAAAUUCUUUGAUUAAAUGGUUCAGUCCGAGCCUCAAAAAUUAAAUGAAAAAACUUUCAGCAACGGAUCUCUAGAUC
This 240-nucleotide unclassified non-coding RNA is filed under the name soil metagenome. Its description in RNAcentral is "partial contains 5.8S ribosomal RNA, internal transcribed spacer 2, and large subunit ribosomal RNA". The record is from RNAcentral.